Molecule: transfer RNA, 72 nt
Filed under: Camelus bactrianus (Bactrian camel)
Lineage: Eukaryota; Metazoa; Chordata; Mammalia; Artiodactyla; Camelidae
Also listed under: 2 other names
Rfam family: tRNA
About the family: Transfer RNA (tRNA) molecules are approximately 80 nucleotides in length. Their secondary structure includes four short double-helical elements and three loops (D, anti-codon, and T loops).
Source: Rfam by way of RNAcentral
GAGGGUAUAGCUCAGUGGUAGAGUAUGUGCUUAGCAUGCAUGAGGCCUUGAGUUCAAUCCUCAGUACCUCCA